Molecule: transfer RNA, 73 nt
Filed under: Acropora cervicornis
Lineage: Eukaryota; Metazoa; Cnidaria; Anthozoa; Scleractinia; Acroporidae
Description: tRNA-Ser
Rfam family: tRNA
About the family: Transfer RNA (tRNA) molecules are approximately 80 nucleotides in length. Their secondary structure includes four short double-helical elements and three loops (D, anti-codon, and T loops).
Source: RNAcentral
GGCUUCAUAGCCUAGUUGGUUAGAGCGUCGCACCGGAAUUGUGAGGUAACGGGUUCAAACCCCGUUGAAGUCC